UGAGCAAUCUGCCCUUCUCUUUGGAAUAAGCGUUGGAAACGACGUCUAAUGCCGAAUACGACCUCCUUUCGCAUGAUCGGAGGUGGAAAGCUCCGGCGGAGAAGGAUGAGCUCGCGGCCUAUCAGCUAGUUGGUGUGGGUAAUGGCCCACCAAGGCGACGACGGGUAGCCGGCCUGAGAGGGUGACCGGCCACACUGGGACUGAGACACGGCCCAGACCUCCGUACGGGAGGNAGCG
Molecule: ribosomal RNA, 237 nt
Filed under: uncultured bacterium
Lineage: Bacteria
Description: partial 16S ribosomal RNA
Rfam family: Bacterial small subunit ribosomal RNA
Source: RNAcentral